CCUACGGGAGGCAGCAGUGGGGAAUAUUGCACAAUGGGGGAAACCCUGAUGCAGCAACGCCGCGUGAGUGAUGACGGUCUUCGGGUUGUAAACUCCUGUUUUUAGGGACGAUUAUGACGGUAUCUGAGGAGUAAGCAACGGCUAACUCCGUGCCAGCAGCCGCGGUAAUACGUAGGUGGCGAGCGUUGCUCGGAUUUACUGGGCGUAAAGGGUGCGUAGGCGGGGUUUUAAGUGAGAUGUGAAAUACUGUAGCUUAACUUGAGUCCUGCAUUUCAAACUGGUAGUCUAGAGUGUGGGAGAGGAGAGUGGAAUUCCUGGUGUAGCGGUAAAAUGCGUAGAGAUUAAGAAGAACACCAAUGGCGAAGGCGAUUCGCUGGACUAUAACUGACGCUGAGGCUCGAAAGCGUGGGGAGCAAACAGGAUUAGAUACCCUUGUAGUC
Molecule: ribosomal RNA, 440 nt
Filed under: uncultured bacterium
Lineage: Bacteria
Description: partial 16S ribosomal RNA
Rfam family: Bacterial small subunit ribosomal RNA
Source: RNAcentral